UGAGGCACUGCGAAUCGAGGAACCCUCCUCA
RNAcentral lists this non-coding RNA (31 nucleotides) under Rattus norvegicus (Norway rat). The record is from RNAcentral. Lineage: Eukaryota; Metazoa; Chordata; Mammalia; Rodentia; Muridae.